CAGUCGAACGGUAACAUUUCUAGCUUGCUAGAAGAUGACGAGUGGCGGACGGGUGAGUAAUACUUAGGAAUAUGCCUUUGUGUGGGGGAUAACUAUUGGAAACGAUAGCUAAUACCGCAUAACGUCUUCGGACCAAAGGGGGCUUCGGCUCCCGCGCAAAGAGUAGCCUAAGCGAGAUUAGCUUGUUGGUGAGGUAAAGGCUCACCAAGGCGACGAUCUCUAGCUGUUCUGAGAGGAAGAUCAGCCACACUGGAACUGAGACACGGUCCAGACUCCUACGGGAGGCAGCAGUGGGGAAUAUUGCACAAUGGGGGAAACCCUGAUGCAGCCAUGCCGCGUGUGUGAAGAAGGCCUUCGGGUUGUAAAGCACUUUCAGUUGUGAGGAAAGGUUAACGGUUAAUACCCGUUAGCUGUGACGUUAGCAACAGAAGAAGGACCGGCUAACUCCGUGCCAGCAGCCGCGGUAAUACGGAGGGUCCGAGCGUUAAUCGGAAUUACUGGGCGUAAAGCGCACGCAGGCGGUUUGUUAAGCUAGAUGUGAAAGCCCUGGGCUCAACCUGGGAAUUGCAUUUAGAACUGGCAGGCUAGAGUUUUGGAGAGGGGAGUGGAAUUCCAGGUGUAGCGGUGAAAUGCGUAGAUAUCUGGAGGAACAUCAGUGGCGAAGGCGACUCCCUGGUCAGUAACUGACGCUCAUGUGCGAAAGUGUGGGUAGCGAACAGGAUUAGAUACCCUGGUAGUCCACACCGUAAACGCUGUCUACUAGCUGUUUGUGGAUUUAAUCCGUGAGUAGCGAAGCUAACGCGAUAAGUAGACCGCCUGGGGAGUACGGCCGCAAG
RNAcentral lists this ribosomal RNA (836 nucleotides) under Paraglaciecola mesophila. RNAcentral describes it as "bacterial SSU rRNA". It matches the Rfam family "Bacterial small subunit ribosomal RNA", at positions 59 to 892 of the family's 1533-position model. Lineage: Bacteria; Pseudomonadati; Pseudomonadota; Gammaproteobacteria; Alteromonadales; Alteromonadaceae. The record is from RNAcentral.